Molecule: small RNA, 78 nt
Filed under: Methylobacterium fujisawaense
Lineage: Bacteria; Pseudomonadati; Pseudomonadota; Alphaproteobacteria; Hyphomicrobiales; Methylobacteriaceae
Also listed under: 2 other names
Description: suhB
Rfam family: Makes More Granules Regulator RNA (mmgR)
About the family: SuhB later renamed mmgR (makes more granules regulator) was a putative non-coding RNA found multiple times in the Agrobacterium tumefaciens genome and related alpha-proteobacteria. Other non-coding RNAs uncovered in the same analysis include: speF, ybhL, metA, and serC. Several studies inSinorhizobium meliloti showed that suhB element is indeed a non-coding RNA:firstly it was detected on Northern blot and called Sm8RNA, secondly in an RNAseq study referred to as SmelC689.
Source: RNAcentral
UCCGGCCGCCCCGCUCGGGCGUUUCCUCCCUAGACUUUCGGACCGUUCUCUUGAGGGCGGUCUUUUUUUAUUGUCGGU